AUUUGAGAUCCGAGUAUGAUUGGGGAAAUAUCCUGAAAUAGUCUAUGAUUUGAAGAAAUGGAUAGAUGGCUAGAAUAACAUGCUAGAUGGUAGUCAAGUUACUAACUGCAGAAUUGAUUUGAUAAAAUUCUCAUCGUGUCUCCUGACUUAGGAGAAAUAUUGGGUCUGAUGAAUGGGUAAAAUUCCCAGGUGAAAAGAAUUUGGUCUGUAAGAUUUGGCAGCACCCUGAGGUUUGCCAUAUCUGAUGGCCUGGCUUUAGUGGCAGCACCUAGUGAAGGCCCAGGUGUCCUUCUGACAACCUUUACCACCUACCGUUUUGUCCUUACUUAUGUUGAAUCACUACACACAGGCUGUUGAAUUCAGCUGUCUGUGGAGAAAUUAUACCAACCACAUGGUUAGACAGAAGGAAUACAAUAUAUUGCUUAAUUUGUAUCUGAAAGCUAAGCAACAUGGAAAAAAAUCAAGCAUGCUCAGUCACUUCCAUGAGGACAAACGAAGACACUUCAAGGGUAGCAAACGCAGUCAGAUGAUACUUCCUGACAGCAUCCAAGAGCAAGUCUCACCACCACAUCUGUCAAUAAAAAAGAAAACAA
Homo sapiens (human) is the source of this 593-nucleotide long non-coding RNA. Ensembl annotates it as long intergenic non-protein coding RNA 1333. NCBI's taxonomy places the organism in Eukaryota, Metazoa, Chordata, Mammalia, Primates, Hominidae. The record is from Ensembl.